UAGGGAGACCUACCCAUUGAGGAAUCGAAAGCGGAGAGCGAAUAGAGAAUCAAGUGGUCUACUCUAGGUCGGUGACGUGAGAUUGUGAAGUCUUUCAAACUAAUAUUUGGUUCGCGAGAGGGCUAUUAGCUCAGGUGGUUAGAGCGCACCCCUGAUAAGGGUGAGGUCCCUGGUUCGAGUCCAGGAUGGCCCACCUGGGGGUUUAGCUCAGCUGGUAGAGCGCCUGCUUUGCAAGCAGGAUGUCAGCGGUUCGAGUCCGCUAACCUCCACAUUAGGUAUCUUCAGCAACUAGGAAAGACCUAGACUGCUGGUGAUGAACCAGCCAGAACCUUGAAAACUGCAUAUAGAAAGAUAAGAGUAAAGAGUAAGU
This 370-nucleotide transfer RNA is filed under the name Cylindrospermopsis catemaco CHAB1390. RNAcentral describes it as "partial 16S-23S ribosomal RNA intergenic spacer". The stretch from base 197 to 269 matches the Rfam family "tRNA". Lineage: Bacteria; Bacillati; Cyanobacteriota; Cyanophyceae; Nostocales; Aphanizomenonaceae. The record is from RNAcentral.